RNAcentral lists this ribosomal RNA (491 nucleotides) under uncultured bacterium. Its description in RNAcentral is "partial 16S ribosomal RNA". It matches the Rfam family "Bacterial small subunit ribosomal RNA", at positions 29 to 507 of the family's 1533-position model. The record is from RNAcentral.
GUGCACGCUGGCGGUAGGCCUAACACAUGCAAGUCGCACGGCAGCACAGUAAGAGCUUGCUCUUACGGGUGGCGAGUGGCGGACGGGUGAGGAAUACAUCGGAAUCUACUUUUUCGUGGGGGAUAACGUAGGGAAACUUACGCUAAUACCGCAUACGACCUACGGGUGAAAGCAGGGGAUCUUCGGACCUUGCGCGAUUGAAUGAGCCGAUGUCGGAUUAGCUAGUUGGCGGGGUAAAGGCCCACCAAGGCGACGAUCCGUAGCUGGUCUGAGAGGAUGAUCAGCCACACUGGAACUGAGACACGGUCCAGACUCCUACGGGAGGCAGCAGUGGGGAAUAUUGGACAAUGGGCGCAAGCCUGGUCCAGCCAUACCGCGUGGGUGAAGAAGGCCUUCGGGUUGUAAAGCCCUUUUGUUGGGAAAGAAAAGCAGCAGGUUAAUACCCCGCUGUUCUGACGGUACCCAAAGAAUAAGCACCGGCUAACUUCGUG